Molecule: ribosomal RNA, 229 nt
Filed under: uncultured bacterium
Lineage: Bacteria
Description: partial 16S ribosomal RNA
Rfam family: Bacterial small subunit ribosomal RNA
Source: RNAcentral
UGUGUAGGCGGAUAAAUUAGCGUUUUGUGAAAUCCCUCGGCUUAACCGAGGAAUUGCUUGACGAACUGUUUAUCUUGAGGCAAGUAGGAGUGCACGGAACUCUUGGUGGAGCGGUGGAAUGCGUAGAUAUCAAGAGGGACGCCAGUGGUGAAGACGGUGCACUGGGCUUGUCCUGACGCUGAGACACGAAAGCGUGGGUAGCGAACAGGAUUAGAUACCCUGGUAGUCC